AUGCACAAAUUACAAAGUUGGCAAGGUCUGCAUAUCUUCCUUGUCUCUCACAUAGCACACUGCUCCUCAUCUCCAUAUCUCCUCAUUUGGGCCUGGCUUCUUAAAACUUUCUUUUCUCUGCUUGAACUCAGGAAUCAUCAGGAAAAGCCAGUAACAUCAGUGGUGUCCAUUGAAUGGCUCAGAUUUGAGAAAACCCAGGCUUCUGGAAGCAGUGAUAGAGCAGCUGCAGCCAGAGGCUCCCACAUGGUGGCCUGGAGAAUAUGGUAUUUCCAUCCACAAACCAAGCACCAGGAGAGUCAAGUUAACAGAGCCAUGGCUGGCAAUGUAUCAAAAGGAUCACUUACAGAAAUGUAGGCUGUGUCUAUAAUAUAAAAGGCAAAAACUAAAGGUAGGUCUAACAGCCAGUGAAAAAGGAAGAGAAGGAGUGCCUCCAAGAGGUAAAUAUAAACCUAGAUAGUCAAUGGCAUGGUAUUAUAAGGCAGUGUUUUAAUAAGAACAAAGUACUGAAAACCUUCUGUUUCUGUAGACAUGAAUAAAAAGGCUAUGGUGUUUGGCA
RNAcentral lists this long non-coding RNA (556 nucleotides) under Felis catus (domestic cat). RNAcentral's name for it is "lncRNA (ENSFCAG00000052230.1)". The record is from RNAcentral. Lineage: Eukaryota; Metazoa; Chordata; Mammalia; Carnivora; Felidae.